AUUGAACGCUGGCGGCAGGCCUAACACAUGCAAGUCGAGCGGAUGAAGGGAGCUUGCUCCUGGAUUCAGCGGCGGACGGGUGAGUAAUGCCUAGGAAUCUGCCUGGUAGUGGGGGAUAACGUCCGGAAACGGGCGCUAAUACCGCAUACGACCUGAGGGAGAAAGUGGGGGAUCUUCGGACCUCACGCUAUCAGAUGAUCCUAGGUCGGAUUAGCUAGUCGGUGGGGUAAAGGCCUACCAAGGCGACGAUCCGUAACUGGUCUGAGAGGAUGAUCAGUCACACUGGAACUGAGACACGGUCCAGACUCCUACGGGAGGCAGCAGUGGGGAAUAUUGGACGAUGGGAGAAAGCCUGAUCCAGCCAUGCCGCGUGUGUGAAGAAGGUCUUCGGAUUGUAAAGCACUUUAAGUUGGGAGGAAGGGCAGUAAGUUAAUACCUUGCUGUUUUGACGUUACCAACAGAAUAAGCACCGGCUAACUUCGUG
Molecule: ribosomal RNA, 484 nt
Filed under: uncultured bacterium
Lineage: Bacteria
Description: partial 16S ribosomal RNA
Rfam family: Bacterial small subunit ribosomal RNA
Source: RNAcentral